GACGAACGCUGGCGGUGUGCUUAACACAUGCAAGUCGAACGGUAAGGCCCUUUCGGGGGUACACGAGUGGCGAACGGGUGAGUAACACGUGAGUAACCUGCCCUCAUCUCUGGGAUAACAGUCGGAAACGGUUGCUAAUACUGGAUAUGAGCUUGCAAGGCAUCUUGUGGGUUGGAAAGAUUUUUUUGGUUGGGGAUGGACUCGCGGCCUAUCAGCUUGUUGGUGAGGUAGUGGCUCACCAAGGCUUCGACGGGUAGCCGGCCUGAGAGGGCGACCGGCCACAUUGGGACUGAGAUACGGCCCAAACUCCUACGGGAGGCAGCAGGGGGGAAUAUUGCACAAUGGACGGAAGUCUGAUGCAGCAACGCCGCGGGCGGGAGGACGGCCUUCGGGUUGGAAACCGCUUUCAAUUGUGACGAAGCUUUUUGUGACGGUAGCAGUAGAAGAAGCACCGGCUAACUACGUG
This 466-nucleotide ribosomal RNA is filed under the name uncultured bacterium. Its description in RNAcentral is "partial 16S ribosomal RNA". It matches the Rfam family "Bacterial small subunit ribosomal RNA", at positions 28 to 507 of the family's 1533-position model. The record is from RNAcentral.